CAUACCGAACACGGAAGUUAAGCUCUUCAGCGCCGAUGGUAGUUGGGGGUUUCCCCCUGUGAGAGUAGGACGUUGCUAGGC
RNAcentral lists this ribosomal RNA (81 nucleotides) under Sporosarcina sp. P7. Lineage: Bacteria; Bacillati; Bacillota; Bacilli; Caryophanales; Caryophanaceae. The record is from RNAcentral. RNAcentral also lists the same sequence under 1 other name.